RNAcentral lists this ribosomal RNA (783 nucleotides) under uncultured Pseudoalteromonas sp. Its description in RNAcentral is "bacterial SSU rRNA". It matches the Rfam family "Bacterial small subunit ribosomal RNA", at positions 8 to 780 of the family's 1533-position model. The record is from RNAcentral. Lineage: Bacteria; Pseudomonadati; Pseudomonadota; Gammaproteobacteria; Alteromonadales; Pseudoalteromonadaceae.
AGAGUUUGAUGGUGGCUCAGAUUGAACGCUGGCGGCAGGCCUAACACAUGCAAGUCGAGCGGAAACGAAGAGGUGCUUGCACCUUUGGCGUCGAGCGGCGGACGGGUGAGUAAUGCUUGGGAAUAUGCCUUAUGGUGGGGGACAACAGUUGGAAACGACUGCUAAUACCGCAUGAUGUCUACGGACCAAAGUGGGGGACCUUCGGGCCUCACGCCAUAAGAUUAGCCCAAGUGGGAUUAGCUAGUUGGUGAGGUAAUGGCUCACCAAGGCGACGAUCCCUAGCUGGUUUGAGAGGAUGAUCAGCCACACUGGGACUGAGACACGGCCCAGACUCCUACGGGAGGCAGCAGUGGGGAAUAUUGCACAAUGGGCGCAAGCCUGAUGCAGCCAUGCCGCGUGUGUGAAGAAGGCCUUCGGGUUGUAAAGCACUUUCAGUAAGGAGGAAAGGUUAAGUGUUAAUAGCACUUAGCUGUGACGUUACUUACAGAAGAAGCACCGGCUAACUCCGUGCCAGCAGCCGCGGUAAUACGGAGGGUGCGAGCGUUAAUCGGAAUUACUGGGCGUAAAGCGUACGCAGGCGGUUUGUUAAGCGAGAUGUGAAAGCCCCGGGCUCAACCUGGGAACUGCAUUUCGAACUGGCAAACUAGAGUGUGAUAGAGGGUGGUAGAAUUUCAGGUGUAGCGGUGAAAUGCGUAGAGAUCUGAAGGAAUACCGAUGGCGAAGGCAGCCACCUGGGUCAACACUGACGCUCAUGUACGAAAGCGUGGGGAGCAAACAGGAUUA